Thalassophryne amazonica is the source of this 169-nucleotide long non-coding RNA. RefSeq lists it as uncharacterized. The record is from RefSeq and is a predicted model, not a curated record. The transcript is spliced from 3 exons. NCBI's taxonomy places the organism in Eukaryota, Metazoa, Chordata, Actinopteri, Batrachoidiformes, Batrachoididae.
CCUCUUCGGAAGACCGUCGGCUGUGUGUUUCUCCAGGUUACACUGGAGUUGCAUCAGGAAGGGCAUCCGGCGUAAAACUUGUGCCAAAUGCCUAUGCGGAUCUGGCUAUAUCCGCUGUGGGGACUCCAAACAAAAUGGGAGCAGCCAAAUGGACAACAACAACUACGAC